RNAcentral lists this ribosomal RNA (508 nucleotides) under uncultured bacterium. RNAcentral's name for it is "partial 16S ribosomal RNA". It matches the Rfam family "Bacterial small subunit ribosomal RNA", at positions 30 to 523 of the family's 1533-position model. The record is from RNAcentral.
AUUGAACGCUGGCGGCAGGCCUAACACAUGCAAGUCGAGCGGCAGCGGGAAAGUAGCUUGCUACUUUUGCCGGCGAGCGGCGGACGGGUGAGUAAUGCCUGGGAUAUUGCCCAGUCGAGGGGGAUAACAGUUGGAGACGACUGCUAAUACCGCAUACGCCCUACGGGGGAAAGCAGGGGACCUUCGGGCCUUGCGCGAUUGGAUAUGCCCAGGUGGGAUUAGCUAGUUGGUGAGGUAAUGGCUCACCAAGGCGACGAUCCCUAGCUGGUCUGAGAGGAUGAUCAGCCACACUGGAACUGAGACACGGUCCAGACUCCUACGGGAGGCAGCAGUGGGGAAUAUUGCACAAUGGGGGGAACCCUGAUGCAGCCAUGCCGCGUGUGUGAAGAAGGCCUUCGGGUUGUAAAGCACUUUCAGCGAGGAGGAAAGGUUGUUGGCUAAUACCCAGCAGCUGUGACGUUACUCGCAGAAGAAGCACCGGCUAACUCCGUGCCAGCCGCCGCCGUAA